UACGUAGGGGGCAAGCGUUAUCCGGAUUUACUGGGUGUAAAGGGGGCGCAGACGGCGAUGCAAGCCAGGAGUGAAAGCCCGGGGCCCAACCCCGGGACUGCUCUUGGAACUGCGUGGCUGGAGUGCAGGAGGGGCAGGCGGAAUUCCUGGUGUAGCGGUGAAAUGCGUAGAUAUCAGGAGGAACACCAGUGGCGAAGGCGGCCUGCUGGACUGCAACUGACGUUGAGGCCCGAAAGCGUGGGGAGCAAACAGG
RNAcentral lists this ribosomal RNA (253 nucleotides) under uncultured bacterium. RNAcentral's name for it is "partial 16S ribosomal RNA". It matches the Rfam family "Bacterial small subunit ribosomal RNA", at positions 524 to 776 of the family's 1533-position model. The record is from RNAcentral.